GACGAACGCUGGCGGCGUGCUUAACACAUGCAAGUCGAACGGGUCUGCCCUGUUUUUUGCGGGGUGGGUCAGUGGCGAACGGGUGAGUAACACGUGAGUAACCUGCCCCUCACUUCUGGAUCACCGCCCGAAAGGGUGGCUAAUACGGGGUGUUCUGGCUGUGCCGCAUGGUGUGGCUGGGAUAGAUUCACUUUUGUGGCGUUUUGGUGGGGGCUGGGCUCGCGGCCUAUCAGCUUGUUGGUGGGGUGAUGGUCUGCCAAGGCUAUGACGGGUAGCCGGCCUGAGAGGGUGGGCGGCCACACUGGGACUGAUAUACGGCCCCCACACCUGCGGGAGGCAGCAGUGGGGGGUAUUGCACAAUGGGCGAAAGUCUGAUGCAGCGACGUCGCGUGAGGGAUGGAGGCCUUCGGGUUGUGAACCUCUUUCGCCGGUGAAGAAGGUCCUGCUCUUUGUGGUGGGGUUGACGGUAGCCGGGUUAUGAAGCGCCGGCUAACUACGUG
This 500-nucleotide ribosomal RNA is filed under the name uncultured bacterium. Its description in RNAcentral is "partial 16S ribosomal RNA". It matches the Rfam family "Bacterial small subunit ribosomal RNA", at positions 28 to 507 of the family's 1533-position model. The record is from RNAcentral.